UGGGGAAUAUUGCACAAUGGGCGCAAGCCUGAUGCAGCCAUGCCGCGUGUAUGAAGAAGGCCUUCGGGUUGUAAAGUACUUUCAGCGAGGAGGAAGGCGGUAAGGUUAAUAACCUUAUCGAUUGACGUUACUCGCAGAAGAAGCACCGGCUAACUCCGUGCCAGCAGCCGCGGUAAUACGGAGGGGGCAAGCGGUAAUCGGAAUUACUGGGCGUAAAGCGCACGCAGGCGGUCGGUCAAGUCGGAUGUGAAAUCCCCGGGCUCAACCUGGGAACUGCAUUCGAAACUGGCAGGCUAGAGUCUUGUAGAGGGGGGUAGAAUUCCAGGUGUAGCGGUGAAAUGCGUAGAGAUCUGGAGGAAUACCGGUGGCGAAGGCGGCCCCCUGGACAAAGACUGACGCUCAGGUGCGAAAGCGUGGGGAGCAAACA
Molecule: ribosomal RNA, 427 nt
Filed under: uncultured bacterium
Lineage: Bacteria
Description: partial 16S ribosomal RNA
Rfam family: Bacterial small subunit ribosomal RNA
Source: RNAcentral